AUGUCUUCCCUCUGUGCAAGCCUACACCUCGACGCAGAAGCCGCGCAUGGUGAGCAGGUAGAAUGUCCAAUGCCGCCGUCCUCCCUCUUCUCCAUGGUGUCGAAGCUGAGCAAUUGGGGGGGGGGAGCCAAUGGGUCGGCGAUGACGAGCUCCUGUGAUCCAAGAACCGCCACGGCGCCAGUGCCGCCGCCGCCCAACCAACCAUCGCAGAGAAGGAAGCAGAGGGAGAAGUCGCCAUCCCAGACAUCACCAGCCCUAGUAACAGCGGUGGCAGCGGGGGAGAAGGGGACCAACACCGAGGCUAGCUGGUCAGUGUGGCGGGGAUGGUGGAUGAGGCAGUCGAGGAGGAGGGGGUCGUGGAGUCGGCGGAAGCGGUGGAGGAAGGCGACGCGGAGGAAGGGCCUGCAGACAAGAGAGGAGCGGAUGAGGUUGCCGCCGGUGGGGAGCAGGAGGAAAACCUCCCGAGGGAGGUCGUUGGUCAGCGUGGUGACGAUGAUGGUUGACAAGCCAUUCCCAUCCUCGUCGCCUCCUCCUUUGCACCGACUGCAUCCCAACGUUGAUGCCGGUGACAUGUUGUUCCUCUCGUCUUCUCUUCGCCUCACUACCCGCCACUAGCCGUCGUCCU
This 625-nucleotide long non-coding RNA is filed under the name Oryza sativa Indica Group (long-grained rice). RNAcentral describes it as "lncRNA OsZS97_02G019930". Lineage: Eukaryota; Viridiplantae; Streptophyta; Magnoliopsida; Poales; Poaceae. The record is from RNAcentral.